GUGUAUUUGGAAAUAUCCCUAAUACAGGAUCACUUGGAUCCGUCGGCGAUGACGAGCGCGAAAGAAUGCGAAAAGUCCUCACGGAAUGCUCUAAUUAUGAGAUAAUCUCAUGGAUACUCCCUGGACUUAAGCAUAUCAUUAAGGGAAGGAAAAGAAACUAACUAGGAUUCCGUUAGUAGUGGCGAAUGAACACGGAAGAGCUCCAAUGGUAAAGCCUAAGUGCUGUUGUAAUGUAGCCUCCGAAAACAUUCUGGAAAGGAUGACCACAGUGGGUGAUAGUCCCAGAGGAGGAUGUAAAGAAUAGAGUAGUGCUGCUUGGUAGUGCAGUAUGAAGAGGAGGUAGAAACUUCUAAAGCUAAAUACAGACGGAUACCGAUAGAGAAGAAGUAGUGCGAACGAAAGUUGAAAAGAUCUCAUCUAGAGAAUGAAAAGUGAAAGUAUUAGGGCGUAAGCUGAUGACAUCAGACCCGUAUGAAACACGGACCAAGGAGACUUUGAGUAUAGCGAGGCGAAGGAUGGAAUCCCCCCC
RNAcentral lists this non-coding RNA (529 nucleotides) under Enterocytozoon bieneusi H348. Its description in RNAcentral is "Archaeal large subunit ribosomal RNA". It matches the Rfam family "Archaeal large subunit ribosomal RNA", at positions 1 to 711 of the family's 2987-position model. The record is from Rfam by way of RNAcentral. Lineage: Eukaryota; Fungi; Microsporidia; Enterocytozoonidae.